ACUCCUACGGGAGGCAGCAGUGGGGAAUCUUGGACAAUGGGCGCAAGCCUGAUCCAGCCAUGCCGCGUGAGUGAUGAAGGCCCUAGGGUCGUAAAGCUCUUUCGCCAGGGAUGAUAAUGACAGUACCAGGUAAAGAAACCCCGGCUAACUCCGUGCCAGCAGCCGCGGUAAUACGGAGGGGGUUAGCGUUGUUCGGAAUUACUGGGCGUAAAGCGCGCGUAGGCGGACUGGAAAGUUGGGGGUGAAAUCCCGGGGCUCAACCCCGGAACUGCCUCCAAAACUCCCAGUCUUGAGUUCGAGAGAGGUGAGUGGAAUUCCGAGUGUAGAGGUGAAAUUCGUAGAUAUUCGGAGGAACACCAGUGGCGAAGGCGGCUCACUGGCUCGAUACUGACGCUGAGGUGCGAAAGUGUGGGGAGCAAACAGGAUUAGAUACCCUGGUAGGAUAGCG
This 448-nucleotide ribosomal RNA is filed under the name uncultured bacterium. RNAcentral describes it as "bacterial SSU rRNA". It matches the Rfam family "Bacterial small subunit ribosomal RNA", at positions 335 to 799 of the family's 1533-position model. The record is from RNAcentral.